RNAcentral lists this ribosomal RNA (253 nucleotides) under uncultured Acidobacteriota bacterium. RNAcentral's name for it is "uncultured Acidobacteria bacterium partial 16S ribosomal RNA". It matches the Rfam family "Bacterial small subunit ribosomal RNA", at positions 524 to 776 of the family's 1533-position model. Lineage: Bacteria; Pseudomonadati; Acidobacteriota. The record is from RNAcentral.
UACAGGGGGGGCAAGCGUUGUUCGGAAUUACUGGGCGUAAAGGGUUCGUAGGUGGCCAACUAAGUCAGACGUGAAAUCCCUCAGCUUAACUGGGGAACUGCGUCUGAUACUGGAUGGCUUGAGUGUAGGAGAGGAAUGCGGAAUUCCAGGUGUAGCGGUGAGAUGCGUAGAUAUCUGGAGGAACACCGGUGGCGAAGGCGGCAUUCUGGACUACAACUGACACUGAGGAACGAAAGCCAGGGGAGCAAACGGG